AACAGGAUUAGAUAGCCUGGUAGUCCACGCCGUAAACGAUGAGUGCUAGGUGUUAGGCCCUUUCCGGGGCUUAGUGCCGCAGCUAACGCAUUAAGCACUCCGCCUGGGGAGUACGACCGCAAGGUUGAAACUCAAAGGAAUUGACGGGGGCCCGCACAAGCGGUGGAGCAUGUGGUUUAAUUCGAAGCAACGCGAAGAACCUUACCAGGUCUUGACAUCCCGAUGCUAUUUCUAGAGAUAGAAAGUUUCUUCGGAACAUCGGUGACAGGUGGUGCAUGGUUGUCGUCAGCUCGUGUCGUGAGAUGUUGGGUUAAGUCCCGCAACAAGCGCAACCCCUAUUGUUAGUUGCCAUCAUUCAGUUGGGCACUCUAGCGAGACUGCCGGUAAUAAACCGGAGGAAGGUGGGGAUGACGUCAAAUCAUCAUGCCCCUUAUGACCUGGGCUACACACGUGCUACAAUGGUUGGUACAACGAGUCGCAAGUCGGUGACGGCAAGCAAAUCUCUUAAAGCCAAUCUCAGCUCGGAUUGUAGGCUGCAACUCGCCUACAUGAAGUCGGAAUCGCUAGUAAUCGCGGAUCAGCACGCCGCGGUGAAUACGUUCCCGGGUCUUGUACACACCG
This 621-nucleotide ribosomal RNA is filed under the name uncultured bacterium. Its description in RNAcentral is "bacterial SSU rRNA". It matches the Rfam family "Bacterial small subunit ribosomal RNA", at positions 771 to 1392 of the family's 1533-position model. The record is from RNAcentral.